This 433-nucleotide ribosomal RNA is filed under the name uncultured bacterium. RNAcentral's name for it is "partial 16S ribosomal RNA". It matches the Rfam family "Bacterial small subunit ribosomal RNA", at positions 29 to 507 of the family's 1533-position model. The record is from RNAcentral.
AACGAACGCUGGCGGCAUGCCUAACACAUGCAAGUCGAACGAGACCUUCGGGUCUAGUGGCGCACGGGUGCGUAACGCGUGGGAACCUGCCCUUAGGUUCGGAAUAACUCCCCGAAAGGGGUGCUAAUACCGGAUAAUGUCUUCGGACCAAAGAUUUAUCGCCUUUGGAUGGGCCCGCGUUGGAUUAGCUAGUUGGUAGGGUAAAAGCCUACCAAGGCGACGAUCCAUAGCUGGUCUGAGAGGAUGAUCAGCCACACUGGGACUGAGACACGGCCCAGACUCCUACGGGAGGCAGCAGUGGGGAAUAUUGGACAAUGGGCGAAAGCCUGAUCCAGCAAUGCCGCGUGAGGGAUGAAGGCCUUAGGGUUGUAAAGCUCUUUUACCCGGGAUGAUAAUGACAGUACCGGGAGAAUAAGCACCGGCUAACUCCGUG